GGGCGCUUAGCUCAGUUGGUAGAGCAUCUCGCUUACACCGAGAGGGUCUAAGGUUCGAAUCCUUAAGCGCCCACCA
This 76-nucleotide transfer RNA is filed under the name Candidatus Peregrinibacteria bacterium. RNAcentral's name for it is "tRNA-Val". It matches the Rfam family "tRNA". Rfam says of the family: Transfer RNA (tRNA) molecules are approximately 80 nucleotides in length. Their secondary structure includes four short double-helical elements and three loops (D, anti-codon, and T loops). The record is from RNAcentral. Lineage: Bacteria; Candidatus Peregrinibacteriota.